AGGCACUGUGCUGGCCUGGGCUGU
This 24-nucleotide non-coding RNA is filed under the name Cricetulus griseus (Chinese hamster). Lineage: Eukaryota; Metazoa; Chordata; Mammalia; Rodentia; Cricetidae. The record is from RNAcentral.